UACGAAGGGUGCAAGCGUUAAUCGGAAUUACUGGGCGUAAAGGGUGCGUAGGCGGUUGUUUAAGUCUGUCGUGAAAUCCCCGGGCUCAACCUGGGAAUGGCGAUGGAUACUGGACAGCUAGAGUGUGUCAGAGGAUGGUGGAAUUCCCGGUGUAGCGGUGAAAUGCGUAGAGAUCGGGAGGAACAUCAGUGGCGAAGGCGGCCAUCUGGGACAACACUGACGCUGAAGCACGAAAGCGUGGGGGAGCAAACAGG
This 254-nucleotide ribosomal RNA is filed under the name uncultured bacterium. Its description in RNAcentral is "partial 16S ribosomal RNA". It matches the Rfam family "Bacterial small subunit ribosomal RNA", at positions 524 to 776 of the family's 1533-position model. The record is from RNAcentral.